AGACAGAUCAGGUACAUUGAAUCU
RNAcentral lists this microRNA (24 nucleotides) under Vriesea carinata. RNAcentral describes it as "vca-miR10206b-5p". Lineage: Eukaryota; Viridiplantae; Streptophyta; Magnoliopsida; Poales; Bromeliaceae. The record is from miRBase by way of RNAcentral.